Non-coding RNA from Paramuricea clavata, 249 nucleotides. The record is from the annotation of a GenBank genome assembly. NCBI's taxonomy places the organism in Eukaryota, Metazoa, Cnidaria, Anthozoa, Malacalcyonacea, Plexauridae.
UGCCGAUUUAGAGUUUUCCAAUCUACAGAUUGUUUUUAAAUUUUGAUAUUCUAUUUGUUUUAAAAGAAGUUAUCGUUGUGCAAAAUUUCAUCACAUGUCACCGUGCAAAAUUUUGAAUUACGCCGUUUUAUUGUGGUAUCUCACUCGCUAGGCCGAAAGUUUUUCGAGCUCUGCAAGAUCAAUGAAUUGACAUGCGCGUACAUGUUUUCGCAGGCGCAUCCCAAGAAAAACUCGCACAAAAAAGUUUUU